This is a long non-coding RNA of Ictalurus punctatus (channel catfish), 332 nucleotides long. Lineage: Eukaryota; Metazoa; Chordata; Actinopteri; Siluriformes; Ictaluridae. The record is from Ensembl.
CAGAAACGGAGAAGGAAGUAGACCAAGAAAAGAGCUAGCAGAAGAUUCAGACUACAUUUUUUUUUGGACUACCCAAAGUUCUUGUUUAUAGAGCAAUCACUGCCUAUCAGGAUGGUUUCCAGAACUACUGGAGUGUUCCUGGGUGCUUAUUUACUGUACUUGCCAAGUACAAAUAGCAAAGUCAUCACCUUGUGACCGUGACCCCAUGCGAAGUGGACGAAAUACGAUGGGCUAUGGUUCUGACGUUGAUUAGCGAGGUCCACGGUGGGCCGUGAAAUCCAAUAAGACCACUGAGGUAUGGUGAGCAAUUACAGAAGACGCCUGUCUGCCAC